Molecule: ribosomal RNA, 505 nt
Filed under: uncultured bacterium
Lineage: Bacteria
Description: partial 16S ribosomal RNA
Rfam family: Bacterial small subunit ribosomal RNA
Source: RNAcentral
GACGAACGCUGGCGGCGUGCCUAAUACAUGCAAGUAGAACGCACAGUUUAUACCGUAGCUUGCUACACCAUAGACUGUGAGUUGCGAACGGGUGAGUAACGCGUAGGUAACCUGCCUGGUAGCGGGGGAUAACUAUUGGAAACGAUAGCUAAUACCGCAUAAUAUUAAUUAUUGCAUGAUAAUUGAUUGAAAGAUGCAACUGCAUCACUACCAGAUGGACCUGCGUUGUAUUAGCUAGUAGGUGAGGUAACGGCUCACCUAGGCGACGAUACAUAGCCGACCUGAGAGGGUGAUCGGCCACACUGGGACUGAGACACGGCCCAGACUCCUACGGGAGGCAGCAGUAGGGAAUCUUCGGCAAUGGACGAAAGUCUGACCGAGCAACGCCGCGUGAGUGAAGAAGGUUUCCGGAUCGUAAAGCUCUGUUGUAAGAGAAGAACGGGUGUGAGAGUGGAAAGUUCACACUGUGACGGUAUCUUACCAGAAAGGGACGGCUAACUACGUG